Molecule: ribosomal RNA, 517 nt
Filed under: uncultured marine eukaryote
Lineage: Eukaryota
Description: SSU rRNA
Rfam family: Eukaryotic small subunit ribosomal RNA
Source: RNAcentral
GUUGUUGCAGUUAGAACGCUCGUAGUCGGAUUUCGGGGCGGGCCGACCGGUCUGCCGAUGGGUAUGCACUGGCCGGCGCGUCCUUCCUUCCGGAGACCGUGCCUACUCUUAACUGAGCGGGGGCGGGAGACGGGACUUUUACUUUGAAAAAAUCAGAGUGUUUCAAGCAGGCAGCUCGCUCUUGCAUGGAUUAGCAUGGGAUAAUGAAAUAGGACUUUGGUGCUAUUUUGUUGGUUUCGAACACCGAAGUAAUGAUGAGAAGGGACAGUCAGGGGCACUCGUAUUUUGCCGAGAGAGGUGAAAUUCUCAGACCAGCGAAAGACGAACCACUGCGAAAGCAUUUGCCAGGGAUGUUUUCACUGAUCAAGAACGAAAGUUAGGGGAUCGAAGACGAUCAGAUACCGUCGUAGUCUUAACCAUAGACCAUGCCGACUAGGGAUUCGACGAUGUUCACUUAUUGACUUGUUGAGCACCUUACGGGAAACUAAAGUCUUUGGGUUCCGGGGGGAGUAUGGUC